RNAcentral lists this long non-coding RNA (385 nucleotides) under Brassica napus (rape). RNAcentral's name for it is "long non-coding RNA (BNAP_LNC004413)". Lineage: Eukaryota; Viridiplantae; Streptophyta; Magnoliopsida; Brassicales; Brassicaceae. The record is from RNAcentral.
CAAAUCCUCCACUGUAUAUCUCGCGUAUGGAGCAGACAGAAGCACACACAAAUCUGGAUGAAUUGCACCUCCUGGGACAGGCUAAGGUGCAGCGGCUGGAGGAGGAGGAGGUGGCACAUAUGAGGUGCAGGAGGAGGAGGACUCCAAAAAACUCUCUGGGAUGUCUGAGAGUCCGGAACUGCCUCGGAAGAUAAUGGACGGAAGAAGAUGUACCGAUACCAUCAUGAAACAUCUGAGAGUAAUUUGGUGCUGCUGGCUUUCUUCUAGGACCCAUCUAAAUUUUAUAAAAAAUUACAGUUAGUUUUAUAAAUAACGACAUAGUUAAAAAAUAUUAUUCUGAUACCUAACUUAUUACCUAUACUAACCACUUAAACUAAUUACCUAU